GACGAACGCUGGCGGCGUGCUUAACACAUGCAAGUCGAACGGUAAGGCCCUUCGGGGUACGCGAGUGGCGAACGGGUGAGUAACACGUGGGUGAUCUGCCCUGCACUUCGGGAUAAGCCCGGGAAACUGGGUCUAAUACCGGAUAGGACCACUGCCUGCAUGGGUGGUGGUGGAAAGCUUUUGCGGUGUGGGAUGGGCCCGCGGCCUAUCAGCUUGUUGGUGGGGUGAUGGCCUACCAAGGCGACGACGGGUAGCCGGCCUGAGAGGGUGACCGGCCACACUGGGACUGAGAUACGGCCCAGACUCCUACGGGAGGCAGCAGUGGGGAAUAUUGCACAAUGGGCGCAAGCCUGAUGCAGCGACGCCGCGUGUGGGAUGACGGCCUUCGGGUUGUAAACCUCUUUCAGCACCGACGAAGCGCAAGUGACGGUAGGUGCAGAAGAAGGACCGGCCAACUACGUGCCAGCCGCCGCCGUAA
This 478-nucleotide ribosomal RNA is filed under the name uncultured bacterium. RNAcentral's name for it is "partial 16S ribosomal RNA". It matches the Rfam family "Bacterial small subunit ribosomal RNA", at positions 28 to 523 of the family's 1533-position model. The record is from RNAcentral.